Long non-coding RNA from Mustela erminea (ermine), 103 nucleotides. RefSeq lists it as uncharacterized. Lineage: Eukaryota; Metazoa; Chordata; Mammalia; Carnivora; Mustelidae. The transcript has 3 exons. The record is from RefSeq and is a predicted model, not a curated record.
UUAUAUUUUAAUGGGUCAAGACAAAAAAAAAAAAAUCCUUAACUUACAAGAGAAAACCCAUAAAGCUAGCUAAAGAUUUCUCAACAGAAACUUGGCAAAACAG